UUCCAGAUGGCUCAGUGGGUAAAGAAUCUGCCUGCAAUGCAGGAGACACUGGUUCAAUUUCUGGGUCGGGAAG
Molecule: non-coding RNA, 73 nt
Organism: Ovis aries (sheep)
Lineage: Eukaryota; Metazoa; Chordata; Mammalia; Artiodactyla; Bovidae
Source: Rfam